CCUACGGGGGGCUGCAGUGGGGGAUAUUGCACAAUGGGGGGAACCCUGAUGCAGCGACGCCGCGUGGGUGAAGGAGUGCUUCGGCAUGUAAAGCCCUAUCGGCAGGGAAGAAGCAAGACGGUACCUGACUAAGAAGCCCCGGCUAACUACGUGCCAGCAGCCGCGGUAAUACGUAGGGGGCGAGCGUUAUCCGGAUUCACUGGGUGUAAAGGGAGCGUAGACGGCCAUGCAAGCCAGGGGUGAAAGCCCGAGGCCCAACCCCGGGACUGUCCUUGGAACUGUGCGGCUAGAGUGCGGGAGGGGCAGGCGGAAUUCCUGGUGUAGCGGUGAAAUGCGUAGAUAUCAGGAGGAACUCCGGCGGCGAAGGCGGCCUGCUGGACUGCGACUGACGUUGAGGCUCGAAAGCGUGGGGAGCGAACAGGAUUAGAUACCCCUGUAGUC
RNAcentral lists this ribosomal RNA (441 nucleotides) under uncultured bacterium. RNAcentral describes it as "partial 16S ribosomal RNA". It matches the Rfam family "Bacterial small subunit ribosomal RNA", at positions 338 to 795 of the family's 1533-position model. The record is from RNAcentral.